CCCUAUUAUAUUUAAUGUAUUUAAAGUUUUGAGUAGUAUACGAUUAGGUCAGGAAACUUAAAGAAUUUGGCGGUGUGUAUUCUUAUUAGAGGAAUAUGAUUUUUAAUUGAUAACCCACAAUUAUCUUACUUAAAUUUAUUUAUUUUGUAUAUCUCCGUCUUAAAAAGAUUUUUAAAAAUAUUUUUUAGUUUUUAUAAGAUAAAAUAAGUCAGGUCAAGGUGCAGAUUAUAUUUAAGUUAAAUUGUAUUACAAUAAAAUUAUUUUUGGAGUUUCAAUGAAAAUUUUUAGGAAAUUGGAUUUAUAAGUAAAUUUUUUUUAUAAUAAAUUUUUGAAUAGUGUUAAUACACAUGCACACAUCGCCC
RNAcentral lists this ribosomal RNA (362 nucleotides) under Blastopsocus lithinus. Its description in RNAcentral is "partial 12S ribosomal RNA". Lineage: Eukaryota; Metazoa; Arthropoda; Insecta; Psocodea; Psocidae. The record is from RNAcentral.